RNAcentral lists this transfer RNA (98 nucleotides) under Calothrix sp. 336/3. It matches the Rfam family "tRNA". From Rfam's summary of the family: Transfer RNA (tRNA) molecules are approximately 80 nucleotides in length. Their secondary structure includes four short double-helical elements and three loops (D, anti-codon, and T loops). The record is from Rfam by way of RNAcentral. Lineage: Bacteria; Bacillati; Cyanobacteriota; Cyanophyceae; Nostocales; Calotrichaceae.
GCUCCUGUAGCCCAAUUGGAAGAGGCGCUGGUCUUAGAAACCAGACGGUGUAGGUAUCUCCUUCGGAGACGCUACGCGAACAAAUCCUACCAGGAGUA